This is a long non-coding RNA of Ostrinia nubilalis (European corn borer), 841 nucleotides long. RefSeq lists it as uncharacterized. The record is from RefSeq and is a predicted model, not a curated record. Lineage: Eukaryota; Metazoa; Arthropoda; Insecta; Lepidoptera; Crambidae. The transcript has 2 exons.
AAAAGCUGCCGUUUUCUUCUUCCGAAAGAGAGCUGCUGAUUGUAGCAUAAUUAGAGAAAGGCCUAUUAUUGAAGACAAGCAUAUUAUUAUCCUCUCUAAAAUAUCGAGUUGACGAAGCAGGCCUGGGAAACUCUAACAGUGGCGUACAAUUCUGAACCAUAUUUUAUGUUUCACAAAGGCUCACACAUCAACUGAAAAGCUGCUGGAAUAAUUUAAAGACCCAAAGAAUGAAAGAACUUUCUCAGGAAUCAAUCAAACGUUCUCAACACCCACUAGUAUCAAGAAAUUAAGAUUAGUAGUAGCAAGAAUGAAGAUUAAGACAGAAACAAGAAUCAAACGCACCACAUUGAAUAAUAUACAACAAGACCAGGCUUUGCACGAGUUGGGGCUACAAAGAGAAAAAAUAUUGAUAGAAAGAGAAAAUAAUUUGUUAGAACAUGAAAAUUAGAUUUAUGAUUUACAAAUACAUAAAAUUAAAUUAGACAUUGAAGAUUGAUGAAAAUAAAACUUCAUUAAAAAUUUUAUGUUUUAUUUGCCACUAGCAACUGAUACAUUAUGUAGGUGGCACUGGAAGGCCUCCUCGCAGUUAAUUUCCUCAGGUCUUCUUUUAUCAGUGGUAAAAGUAUGAAAAGUACCCCAUCAUUGGAAAACCUAAACUAAAUUCGUCUGAAUUGUAAUAAUAAAAGGGAUUUUGGGAAUCCCGUAUCACUUUUCUGGUACUUUAUUUAUUAUUCUACUUUGCUCAUUGAUAUAAUUAUCAAAUUCUUCUUCACUACUGUAAUCCAUUGUAAGAUAAUUUUAAUCGAAUACAACCAUAAAUAAAGCAAACAAACCUCAAAAA